This 3639-nucleotide unclassified non-coding RNA is filed under the name Leishmania donovani. RNAcentral's name for it is "gene:LdHU3.14.1020(CDS-product:fatty_acid_elongas e_putative)". Lineage: Eukaryota; Euglenozoa; Kinetoplastea; Trypanosomatida; Trypanosomatidae. The record is from RNAcentral.
UUUUGCAUGCCCUUUUGUGUUGACACACGCGCGCACACGUCUGGUUCGACAUCCCACUCAGAGCAAGCAGCACCCCUCACCCGCUCGCCCUUCGCCCGCAGGCUCGAACAGACAGACUCGCCAAGACGGAGAGUGCGCCUCUCCACCCAUCUCCCCGCUUUUCUCGCACUCUCAGGUGUUCGGUCCCCCUCAAAGGAAGCGUCGCCGCAUUCGCCCUUGUUGAUUGGUGCGGUCGCUGUUCAUGUGUACCGCCUGGCCUCUCCAUUAUCAUCCCCGCGCCUUCCUUACCCCCUCCCACCUUCCCCCUGUGCACAACAGCCGCCAAGCAUUGCCCAAGCACACGCUGGAGCACGUGCAUACUCGCUUCACUCUCUCGUCCUCUUCGUCUGGCGCCCAUCUAUCGCUUCGCUUUCUGUAUCCUUCUGAGGGUUCACUUUCUUGGAAGCGCUGCCCCUCCUCCUUGUGCGACUCUCUCCAGCACGACACCCUUGAGCGCCCUUCAUCCCCUGUGUACGGAGGGAGGAACUGAGGGCCUGGAGCACCGCUGUCGUCCCUCGCUGUCCUCUCGAUCCCAUCCUACUUGUUGGCGUGUGCUCGCUUCUCGCACGAUGGAGACGCUGCGGGCUGCGUGGGACUGGAUCAACUACCGCCCUCGCCGGUUCAGCGCGGAGAAUGGCCGCAACUUCCUCGAUAGCUACCCCGACUACCCGGCGUAUGCGACGGUACUCUACCUGCUGGCGGUGUUCUAUUUGCCAGACCUCCUAGCUCGCCGGCAGAUCAGCCUCCCCAUCAAGCACAUCGUCGCCGCCUGGAACCUGUUUCUCUCGGUCGUCUCCACCUACGGUGUUUUCUGCAUUUAUGGGCGCAUCAGAGAUGUUUUCUCGGUGCGCACCUUCCACAACUCCGUGUGCGAGCUGCUCGCCACCAGUGGCGCCAACGACAUCAUCACGCUGCGCGCCAUCCACGUGCACGCACACCAGAAGAUGCUCAUCGAGCAGCGUCAUCUGCCGGUGAAGUGGGUGCGCUCAACGCCGGAGGUGGCGAAAGAGAUAACGUCACUCUACGACGGCUCCGCUGGCUUUAGUGUGGCCAUGUUCAUGUACCUCAAGACACCCGAGCUGCUCGACACGCUCUUCCUCGUGCUGCAGCGCAAGCCCGUCUCCUUUCUGCACUGGUACCACCACAUCGCCACCGCCAUCUACGUGUGGCUGUCGUCGUACAUGCCAAUGCCGAGCGGCAUCGUCUUCUGCGCCAUGAACUACUUCGUGCACUCCUUCAUGUACUUCUACUACUUCCUCGUCAUGAUGGGGCUGCGCAAGUCGAUUCGCCCCUUCGCGCCGGUGAUCACGCUGCUGCAGGUGCUGCAGAUGUUCAUUGGCAUGUACAUCACCGUGUACACGUACUUCCAGUACUGGCUGGGCCCCGAGUACAGCAACACGCUCUUCUUCAAGCUCUUCGAGGUGGUGCUCAGCAACGCCUACCACGCGUACUGCAACGCGAAGAGCGUCGUGACGACUGGCGCGCUGGCGUCGCAGGUGCCCGCGUUCGACAUGUCUGACCGGUUCUGGGGCUGUGACAGCGACCCAACAUGUAUGCGCAUGGGCAUGCUGAUGUAUGGCAGCUACUGCGUGCUGUUCGCGGUGCUGUUCAAGGAGCUGUACCUGGACAAGCGCGUACACGAGAACAGCCUCGUGCUGGCGCGCAAGGAGCAGCAGGCGAAGGUGGCGGCGUAGCGACACCGUGAGCGCAAUGCCCAGCGCCAAGCGGCAGGAACGUUCGGCUUGUGUGGAACACGUGUUUUCAUGUGAAGGGCAGCAAGGGCGCUGUGUGUGUGUGUGUGGGUGUGUGUGUGUGUUGGUCUGUUUAUGGUUUUCGGUUGUGUAUGUAUCUCCUUCGCCGCCCCAUUAGCGCAGGUGUCAUCCUCUCAUGUAGCUCUAGUAGCUUUCCUUGUAGUUUUGUGUAUUGUUCCUUGUGUGUUGGCUUUUGCGUGUUUUCUUUUUGCUAUUCUCUCACGUCCAUGCCUCCCCUCCCGGUCCCCCGACGUUCUGCCAAGGCUCGCCGGCGUGUCGAUCUCUGUGUAUGGGGUCGUGAUUCUUCACGCUUGUCUUUUCUCUUUUUUUUUGCUGCUGCUGUGUGUGGCAGAUGCGGCUGUGUGUACCGGCGCAUGCAUGUCGGAUGCACUUGUGAAAGUGUGUGCAAAUAUGGCAGCGCGGAAAAGACUAUGAGAAACGCCCUCACACACACGCACACACACACCAACGCGAUUUGUCUCACUUUUUCCCUCUCUCUCAGCCCAUUCCCCGCCCCCUCUUCUUCCAUGUCCUCUGUCCUUUAGAUGUUGUGGUGGUUGUUGGGGGGGGGGGGGGGCGGGUUUAGUUAUCUGUGCAGCGCUCCUCUCAUCCGUCAUCUCCCACUGUGUAUCUCUCUCUCUUCUACCCUCCACCUCGCGCCCCACCCCACCUCCUUCUUUUUUUCUCGUUUAUUUUUCUCUUGCGUCGCCGAGUGUCCGUGAGGUGGCUCAAGCACACACAAAAUGAAAUGAUUGAGAGACACGCUGGCCGCCUGUAUUCUCACCCUCUCUUGCUGCUCGAGUGGUUUCAAAGGUAAGUCGAGCCAUCAUGCACGUUUGCCGCGCACGCGAGCGUCUUUUUUUUUCCUUCCCUCGUCCUCCUCUCCACUUUGGCCCGCCACCUCCGCGCUCCCCUCAUCCUCCGUCGCACACAGGCACGCUGACGGAGGUUGCCGCUGACGCACAGCAGACACGCCUGGCCUUUAUUCUUCUUCGUGCCCUUUCGACCCUCUAUGCUCAUUCAUUUGUUAUUGUUCAUCUUCCUAGUGAGCGCGCCGCUCCUGUUGUUGUUUUGGCGCUUCGUUUUUCGUUUCAGGCGCGAGGUUAGGAGGUAUCCAUGUGCAUAGCCUUCUUCUCAUCCACACCCCCCUCUUUUCACGUUUUCCCCAUGUAGUCAUGUUGACGCUUAGCCUCUUUUGCCCGCCCCCCUCUCGGUGUGCAUGUGCGCACGUGCGUGCGCCCGCGCCUGCAUCUCUGUGUCUAUGCCCUAGUUGAUGCAGUCGCUAAUCGUGGUGGUCGUGGCGGCUUCGUUUUUGUUGUUUUUCCUGCUUCCCCGGAUUGCUGGGCACGCACGAUAGUGGGCAAACAGUGGUUCAUCGCUGUCAGCGAAAAGGAGCGGCGCGCCACUGCAUCUGCGAGGUGUCUUGUGCAGCGGUCAGACUGCAAGACGACACGAUGCAGCAGUCGUCGGGGGGGGGGGGUGUAAAGAGAAUCAUUCAUGCACCGUCUCGCGUAGAGAAAAGAGUAGCGGUGCGAAAGCCGUCCAGUCGCCUUCAUCUACGCGCGAAGUCACCCGACCAGCGCGAACGAAGAGGGGGAAAAGGGCGAAUCAGCUCAUGACACGGGCCUCGAUCCCGCUCAACGGGGACUUUCCUCAAGCUCCUCUGCGGGUGCAUCUGUGCGCAGAUGAGCGACAGUGUGUGCGCCGGCCUGGCGUUGGUUUUGCUUUGGUGUGGCGGAGCCCCAACGCUCUCAAAUCUCUCCCUCUCUCCCUGCGCUCAUGCGUAUAUGUGGAUGUCGAUGCAUUUUUUUGUUUUUCACGUUUCCCGGCCUUGUCGUCGUGGUGGUAG